RNAcentral lists this ribosomal RNA (405 nucleotides) under uncultured bacterium. RNAcentral describes it as "partial 16S ribosomal RNA". It matches the Rfam family "Bacterial small subunit ribosomal RNA", at positions 30 to 526 of the family's 1533-position model. The record is from RNAcentral.
AUUGAACGCUGGCGGCAGGCUUAACACAUGCAAGUCGAACGAGUGGCGGACGGGUGAGUAAUGCUUGGGAAUCUGGCUUAUGGAGGGGGAUAACGACGGGAAACUGUCGCUAAUACCGCGUACCAUAGGAUGAGCCCAAGUGGGAUUAGGUAGUUGGUGGGGUAAUGGCCUACCAAGCCGACGAUCUCUAGCUGGUCUGAGAGGAUGACCAACCACACCGGGACUGAAGACACGCCCCGACUCCUACGGGAGGCAGCCGUGGGGAAGUUUUCGGAAUUGGGGCAACCUGACGGAACCAUGCCGCGUGAAUGAAGAAGGCCUUCGGGUUUGAAAGGUCUUUCGGUUACGAGGCGGUAAUCACAGAAGAAGCACCGGCUAACUCCGUGCCAGCAGCCGCGGUAAUUC